This is a long non-coding RNA of Peromyscus leucopus (white-footed mouse), 853 nucleotides long. RefSeq lists it as uncharacterized. The record is from RefSeq and is a predicted model, not a curated record. The transcript has 5 exons. Lineage: Eukaryota; Metazoa; Chordata; Mammalia; Rodentia; Cricetidae.
GGCUCGUUCUUUUACGCCGGGAUCCAAAGGCUUUGUGUGUCUCUGUAGGAACAAUGACGCCGUCAUUUUCUGGGUCUUCAAAGCAGUUGCAAAGAGAUGCCCAGAUGGAAGAGCGAGGCCCAAACCAUCCGAGGGAAUUCAUAACUUAAGUAACUUGCUAAAGACCUGACUCUUUCUCGUUUCAAAAGCAGUGACUGCCAACGCAUAGAGGUGCCAGCUGCCUAUAAGGUUCCUAGAGCUGCUGGGAGAAUGAGUGGACAGUGGCACAAGGUUUUGCUGGCGUAUAAGAAUUGGAUGUUGUGAACAUGCAGAAAAGGCAGACAAAAGAAGAAAUUGACUAGGGGGUUUUGAGAUGAGGUCUUUACAUAGCCCUGGCCUUGAACUCAGCCAUCUUGCCCCCUAGGUGCUAGGGGUUUUGUGCCAAUAAGGCCAACUAUGAUACUAAUUUUUAUUAAUGGAUAGAAGAUGAGAUCAUGGCUUCUUAAAAAGGGUUGUUGAAUUUCAUCUAAGUGAAAAUAUUGAUUCUUUAAUUUUAUUGGGUUUAAGAUGUGGAUGGAAUUAAAGCUGUGUGGAAGUUUGCAGUGAUUCAUGAGAAUCUAGUAGGAUUAUGGCAAUCUGUCUAGUGAACAGAAUUCAGUGUAAACAGGACAGCAUCUGGUUUGGCCUGGACAGUUGAGCCUUGUAUGUAAGAAUUGUAUGUUAAUAGAUUGUCUUGCAAAUACAUAUAUGACAGCAGUGUAAAGCAUCAGUUUGACAAUUUUGUGACUGUAAAAUUUGUUACAAGCUGCAUUUCCUUAUCCAGCAGGGCUUACUGUAAAUGCUGCAAUAAACGUUCAGUUGAAUCAACAGAUAA